Molecule: ribosomal RNA, 459 nt
Filed under: uncultured bacterium
Lineage: Bacteria
Description: partial 16S ribosomal RNA
Rfam family: Bacterial small subunit ribosomal RNA
Source: RNAcentral
CCUACGGGAGGCAGCAGUGAGGAAUAUUGGUCAAUGGGCGAGAGCCUGAACCAGCCAAGUCGCGUGAGGGAAGACGGUCCUAUGGAUUGUAAACCUCUUUUGCCGGGGAGCAAAAAGCGGUACGUGUACCGCAUCGAGAGUACCCGGAGAAAAAGCAUCGGCUAACUCCGUGCCAGCAGCCGCGGUAAUACGGAGGAUGCGAGCGUUAUCCGGAUUUAUUGGGUUUAAAGGGUGCGCAGGCGGCGAGUUAAGUCAGCGGUAAAAUUUCGGGGCUCAACCCCGACAAGCCGUUGAAACUGGGUGGCUAGAGUGGGCGAGAAGUAUGCGGGAGGCGUGGUGUAGCGGUGAAAUGCAUAGAUAUCACGCAGAACUCCGAUUGCGAAGGCAGCAUACCGGCGCCCAACUGACGCUCAGGCACGAAAGCGUGGGUAUCGAACAGGAGUAGAUACCCCAGUAGUC